Molecule: ribosomal RNA, 371 nt
Filed under: uncultured organism
Description: bacterial SSU rRNA
Rfam family: Bacterial small subunit ribosomal RNA
Source: RNAcentral
CGAAGGGUGCAAGCGUUACUCGGAAUUACUGGGCGUAAAGCGUGCGUAGGUGGUUCGUUAAGUCUGUCGUGAAAGCCCCGGGCUCAACCUGGGAAUGGCGAUGGAUACUGGCGGGCUAGAGUGCGGUAGAGGAGAGUGGAAUUCCCGGUGUAGCAGUGAAAUGCGUAGAGAUCGGGAGGAACAUCAGUUGCGAAGGCGGCUCUCUGGACCAGCACUGACACUGAGGCACGAAAGCGUGGGAGCAAACAGGAUUAGAUACCCUGGUAGUCCACGCCCUAAACGAUGCGAACUGGACGUUGGGAGCAACUAGGCUCUCAGUGUCGAAGCUAACGCGUUAAGUUCGCCGCCUGGGGAGUACGGUCGCAAGACUG